GGAGGGUGCGAGCGUUGUUCGGAAUUACUGGGCGUAAAGAGCGCGUAGGCGGUUGGGUAAGUCGAAUGUGAAAUCCCGGGGCUCAACCCCGGAACUGCAUCCGAAACUGCUCAGCUAGAGUCCCGGAGAGGAAGGCAGAAUUCCCAGUGUAGGGGUGAAAUCCGUAGAUAUUGGGAGGAAUACCAGUGGCGAAGGCGGCCUUCUGGACGGUGACUGACGCUAAAGCGCGAAAGCGUGGGGAGCAAACAGGAUUAGAUACCCUGGGUAGUCCACGCCGUAAACGUUGUGCACUAGGCGUCGGAGGUAUUCACUCCCGCCCGGUGCCGCAGCUAACGCAUGAAGUGCACCGCCUGGGGGAGUACGGCCGCAAGGCUA
RNAcentral lists this ribosomal RNA (375 nucleotides) under uncultured organism. RNAcentral describes it as "partial 16S ribosomal RNA". It matches the Rfam family "Bacterial small subunit ribosomal RNA", at positions 527 to 896 of the family's 1533-position model. The record is from RNAcentral.